UGAAUACUCAGGUAUUAGAAUUCAAGCAUUUCACCUCCAAUUUCAAAAAGUGACAGUGAUAAGGAGAAAGGCUUGGGGACUUGAACUGGACAUAGCUUUUCACAGAAAGGCUCUAAAUUAAUCAAAGCAUGAGUAUCAGCCAUUUGACGUUCUCUCUCUUAACAGACAUUUCAAAGAUUGCACAUGACACUUCUUAGAAAUGUAUGCGGCCCAGAACAUUUGGUAAACUGCCUUUGUAUUAUACCAUUUUCAACCACUUUAAAAAUAACACAAAUUUUUGCACAGUUAGAACAUAAAAUUAUUGUAUAGGAAGCAGAUUUCAAAACGAAAUACACAACAUUUUUCAAAUAAUGUUUAAAAACACUGGUUGUACUUCACACUGAACAAUUGCUGGUAAGCAAUCAUUUUUUGAGUAUUAAAAAAUAUAAUUCUCUAGGAUUCUUAAUUCAAGCCAAGCACAUCAAUGAAAAUGCUCUUUUCACUAUGAAUAUAUCAAUCAAUGUAAAAGUAUAACUUGAUUAUAUAUGAAUAUGCUGUUUUCAUCUUUUCUAAGAACUUGGAGCUAGAAACUCUUAAAUAUUUAAAUAAACAGGAGAAAUAAAACUGGUGGCACAAUGUAUAUAAUUUAGUAAUGAUGAAAAAUAUUCUCAGCCAAAUUAAUUCAUUUUUGGCUAUUAAUAUUGAAUAUUAUUAAUUUCACUCCAAUUUAUCAUUGAUAAAUAGAAAUUUCCCUUAAUGGUAAAAAUCCUUUUUUGUAAUUAAACCUAAUUUUAUAGAAAGGAGCAAAGUAUGUUUGAGUUAGAUACAGGGAUGUAGAUUUUCACUCAAUCUGUAGAAUAAGAUAUAAAACAUAAGCUAAGAAUUGAAGAGGCAACUUCAUGAAGAAUUAAAUUACCUUAAUGAGAGGGCUAAAUCAGUGUUCCCUCUACCCUCAUUCAGAGAAAGUUAGGACUGGAUGCUCUCUAAGAGAAUUUGCAUCUCUUUCAACAUAUUUAGGAAAAUCACUUACUGUGUAGUCUCACUCUUGAUUCUCUGAAUCUCCCCUCUGUCUCAAAAUGAAAAGAAGAUUAUUAUUCUUUUCUUUGAAAUAGACAAUAGACAUGUCUACAUCAUAUCACAUAUGAAGUACAUACUUCACUCUGGUCUCUCUUCAGUUGAAAUUUGCUAUUGCUCCACUGAAGGAAAAUUUGUUGCAAACCAUCUACAUUGAGUAUACACUGAAGAGUGCAGCCCCAGAAAGUAGACCACCUAAGUAGCAACCUUUGUUCAGCCACAAACUUCCUGUGGAACACUGGUCAAGAUGGAGUUGCACUCUAUCACCAGGCUGGUGUGCAA
Sapajus apella (tufted capuchin) is the source of this 1335-nucleotide long non-coding RNA. RefSeq lists it as uncharacterized. NCBI's taxonomy places the organism in Eukaryota, Metazoa, Chordata, Mammalia, Primates, Cebidae. The transcript is spliced from 3 exons. The record is from RefSeq and is a predicted model, not a curated record.